AGCCACUUGAGCCACAGGCGCCAAGCCGAUGAUUGGGUUUUCAUGUGCAUGUGUGAGAUGUGCCUCCAACAAAUCUUGUUACGAUGUUGGCACAUUACUCGUCUGAUG
This 108-nucleotide non-coding RNA is filed under the name Otolemur garnettii (small-eared galago). RNAcentral's name for it is "Small nucleolar RNA U13". It matches the Rfam family "Small nucleolar RNA U13". The record is from Rfam by way of RNAcentral. Lineage: Eukaryota; Metazoa; Chordata; Mammalia; Primates; Galagidae.